RNAcentral lists this ribosomal RNA (426 nucleotides) under uncultured bacterium. Its description in RNAcentral is "bacterial SSU rRNA". It matches the Rfam family "Bacterial small subunit ribosomal RNA", at positions 506 to 930 of the family's 1533-position model. The record is from RNAcentral.
GGCCAGCAGCCGCGGUAAAACGUAGGUGGCAAGCGUUAUCCGGAUUCACUGGGCGUAAAGCGCACGCAGGCGGCUCGGUAGGUAGGGCAUGAAAUCUCCUGGCUUAACUGGGAGAGGUUGUCCUAUACCGCCGGGCUUGAGGAUGGGAGAGGGAAGUGGAACUGCCGGUGUAGUGGUGAAAUGCGUAGAGAUCGGCAAGAACACCAGUGGCGAAGGCGGCUUCCUGGCCCAUUCCUGACGCUCAGGUGCGAAAGCUAGGGGAGUGAACGGGAUUAGAAACCCCGGUAAUCCUAGCCGUAAACGAUGUGCACUAGGUGUCGGGGGUAUUGACCCCCUCGGUGCCGAAGCCAACGCGUUAAGUGCACCGCCUGGGGACUACGGCCGCAAGGUUAAAACUCAAAGGAAUUGACGGGGGCCCGCACAAGC